UACGGAAGGCAGCAGUGGGGAAUAUUGCACAAUGGGCGCAAGCCUGAUGCAGCCAUGCCGCGUGUAUGAAAAAGGCCUUCGGGUUGUAAAGUACUUUCAGUCGUGAGGAAGGUGUUAAGGUUAAUAACCUUAGCAAUUGACGUUAGCGACAGAAGAAGCACCGGCUAACUCCGUGCCAGCAGCCGCGGUAAUACGGAGGGUGCGAGCGUUAAUCGGAAUUACUGGGCGUAAAGGGCACGCAGGCGGUUAAUUAAGUUGGAUGUGAAAUCCCCGGGCUUAACCUGGGAAUGGCAUUCAAGACUGGUUAGCUAGAGUCUUGUAGAGGGGGUUAGAAUUCCAUGUGUAGCGGUGAAAUGCGUAGAGAUGUGGAGGAAUACCGGUGGCGAAGGCGGCCCCUGGACAAAGGCUGACGCUCAUGUGCGAAAGCGUGGGGAGCAAACG
Molecule: ribosomal RNA, 441 nt
Filed under: uncultured bacterium
Lineage: Bacteria
Description: bacterial SSU rRNA
Rfam family: Bacterial small subunit ribosomal RNA
Source: RNAcentral